CCAAGGGCUGUGGAGUGCGGGUGCACGGGCCGGACUGUGGGCAGCUCCACCUGUGGCCCCUGUGCGAGAUCCACUAGGUGAAGCCAGCUGGACUCCUGAGUCUAGUAGGGAUUUGGAGAACCUUUAUGUCUAGCUAAGGGAUUGUGGAUGCACCAAUCAGCACUCUGUAUCUAGCUCAAGGUUUGUGGAUGCACCAAUCAGCACUCUAUAUCUAUCUAAUCUGGUGGGGACUUGGACAAUCUUUAUAUCUAGCUAAGGUAUUGUAAAUACACCAAUCAGCACUCUGUGUCUAGCUCAAUGUUUGUAAACACACCAAUCAGCACCCUGUGUCUAGCUCAAGGUUUGUAAAUGCACCAAUCAGUGCUCUGUGUCUAGCUAAUCUAGGGUGGAUUUGGAGAACUUUUGUGUCUAGCUCAGGGACUGUAAACGCACCAAACAGCACCCUGUCAAAACGGACCAAUCAGCUUUCUGUAAAACAGACCAGUCAGCCCUCUGUAAAAUGGACCAAUCAGCAGGACGUGGGUGGGGCCAGAUGAGGGAAUAAAAGCAGGCUGCCCUCCCUCAGCCAUCAGUGGCAACUUGGUCGGGUCUGCUUCCGCGCUGUGGAGGUUUUGUUUUUUACUCUUUGCAGUAAAUCUUGCUGCUGCUCACUCUUUGGGUCCGCACUGCUUUUGUGAGCUGUAACACUCACGGAGAAGGUCUGCAGGUUCAUUUCUGAGCCAGCGAGACCACCAGCCCGCCAGGAGGAAGACGCUGCCGAACAUCAGAAGGAACAAACUCCAAACACGCCGCCUUUAAGAACUGUAACACCUGGAGGGUCCGCGGCUUCAUGAAGUCGCAGAGACCAAGAACCCACCAAUUCCGGACACAAAUGCAUCAUUGCACUCCAGCCUGGGUGACAGAGUGAAACCCUGUCUCAAAAAUAAGCUUCCAUUGACGACCAGCUUUGGCUGUUCCAACUCACCACAGCCUCUGAAAGACCCAUGCUCUCUUUGGAUUGCUUGGUACCUGCAGCACGUUUCCAUGCCUGGGAGGUGGCUGACCACUGCACCCCAGGGCAUGCUGGAAAGACAGGAGUCCCAAGCCCUCCCUUCUGCUCUACUCCAAGCUUUUCUUCUUGGGUGCAUUGACUCAAGUCAGGGAGAAUAAGAGUAAGUGAACAGUUUACUCUUACUGGAACAUUCCAAUGCUCUUACAGAUAAUAACUAAGUGAAUGAAAACAAAAAGUUCAGGCAUUCACUGGCAAAAUCCAACUCUGAACAGAACGCACGUCAUGGUGAGAGUACUUUGGUCACCACGGGAAACACAACCAACCAAGUGUUUUGCCAAGAGACACAGAUCGGAACGCUCAUCACAACACUGCAUGGCUCAUUCAGUGCAGGUUGCCACAGGUCUACAGUCACAUGGUUAAUGAAAAUCCAAAACAGGACCAACAGGAUGACACAUUUUCUGUUCUUAAUGCUCAUUGCCAUUAUUGCUAGAUCUCACUCUGUAGCCCAGGCUGGAGUGUCGUGGCCAGAUCUCGGCUCAAUGCAGCUUUGACCUCCCCAGCUCAAGUGAUCCUCCCACCUCAGCCUCCCGAGUUGAGUAACUGGGACCACAGCUAUGGUCAGAAAUCAGGACUGUCAUUCAGAUCUCUGGUUCACUUCUUCAUUGAGACGAGUGAUGGUCUUUGAAAGCCAGACGCUGUGGCCUGCUGUCGGGGCUACCCACCUCCACUCCGCCUUGUUGUGUAGGAAUGAGUUACACUUGUCAGGAAGGCUCGUGUCAUUUGACAUGGACUCCAGGAUUGAAAUGAUUUGCUUGAAUGAUGGCCGUUUCUGAAGAAGAGAAAAUAAGUAAUCAUUCGCUGGGACUUAAGAAAGGAGAUAUUUAAGAGAAAACGUAGAUACUACAAGCAUAGUAAGGACCACAAGUCUCAGAAGAGUAGGAAGUGCCCAGCAUCACACAGGAAGCAAGUUACAGAACCAAGGGCUCUGUUCAUAAACUGUUCAACAUCUUUUAUCACAUAAGGGCUCAUAGGUCCAACUAACUGAAAGCCUCAAUUUGUGGGAAGAAGAGAAGCGAGGCUGGGGACACAGCACAAACGGUGUUUACGCCACUGAAGUUCUUUUGAAAUGGAAAGGCUCUGCAUGAAGAAGCGAACAGUUAUGCCACUGCCUCGCCAAUUCCAGUGAGGAGCUCAUCUUCAAUGUAGUGUUCAACGUAGGUGGCAAAACUGUAAUUUUUCCCUUUUUUGAAACUAUUUUUUCUUCUUUUAUUUUUGAAAUUCUCAUCUAAGCGACAGUUUCUUGUACUAUAGUGACUCCUGCUGGGAGAGGUAAGUUGAAGUAGCUGAAGGUCUCUUACAGAUAUAUCAACUCCCGGCCAGUAAAAAAGAUGUCCUAAACGCAGGAGAUGGAGUUAAACUGUUCCCCUACCUUGGACGCAAUGGCUUCUUUCAUCACUAAGAACAAACCCCUAGGUUUUACAAUUGAGACUGAGAAACUAGUACAGUACUUGUACAAUUUUUGAUCUACAGCAUCACGACGUGAAGCUGCAACAAUUAGAUGUAAAGGGUCCAUUCAUGAGGAAUAACAUCACUUUGACCCUUUGUGUUAGCUCCUACUGCUAAUCUUUCCAUAAGCGUGAACUUACUUUCAAUUUGAAGAAGAUGAAAAAGUCUUUUGCAAAACCCCAAUACUGUUUUCUGAUCUAUGUACCUGAAUGGAGAAACGUAGUCUUACCUCGUUUUUUUCCACUACAAGCCAAGCUACUUGUAAUCCUUCCAAACCUUUAAAGGGGACCUCCCUUGUUAGCAUCUCCCAGAGAACCUGGAACAAAAAGAAAAUGGAAUUUUUAUUUUUGUACUUUAUAUUUUUUGGUACAUAUUACUGAGACCUUAUCUAACAUGUAAUUGUAUCUAAUUACCAGACACAACCAACCCCAACUGUAGAAACUUGGGCAAAACAAUUAAGCACACAACUUCUUCUAUAUAUUAAAUACUUUUUACGUUCUUUUUUAUAAAGAAAAAACCUGGUUUAGAAAUUAGGACAUCUAGAGCCAGACUUAAAAUUUUAUGAAACCAAUGGGCCUGACUGAUUUAAUGUCAUCUCAUAAAUUAUCAGAAUUUUUAUGUUCUCACAAAUUAGAUUGUAUAUUUUGUUAGUUAAAACUCGUUCUACCUUCAAUUUCUGAUACAUUUGUCUAGGAAAUAAUAACUGGGAAUUCAACAAUAUUUUAAAAGGUUCAAUAAUGGUCUCAUCAAAAAUAACUGAGCCCCAAAUCCAAAUCACUGGCUAACCUACCUACCCCACAAUGGUAGAUACUUGCAAAAUUGUAAUAUUUAGAUUUUACAAGUUACAUUUUAGAUUUUGGAGAAAUCUCCCGCAAAAUGAGUCGGUCUAAGGGAUCUAUUUUCAUCUACCUACAAUAUAAUCUAUUAUACCAUACUCUAAGAUGUAAUAAACACUUUCUAUACAUAUAAGCUGACUAUGUGAAAGUGAGCUUAUGUGUGUGUUCAUCUUUGUGCAGUUCUUGAGAUCAGUAUGAUUAUUAAAUCUGAGUGGAAUGCCCAAAGAAAGCAAAUUGAUGCUAGGAAUACUGCUGAUUUUGGGUUCUCUUGAAACACUGAGUAAUGGAGAUUUGUAUACUAUGUUACUUUUCCCUGUUUAUACAAAUGGAGUUCAAAAAUGUGAGUCUACCAAUACUCUGUAAAGUGCAAAAACAAUUCUAGUUUUAUCAGUAAUAGUCCUAAUAAUAAAAACCACCACCGCUUAUUGAGUACUUAUUAUAUUCCAGAUGCCCUUUUCAUAUAUUACCAUGAUUAAUAGCAAUCCUACUGGAUACAUCUUACCCUUAUUUUAUAGGUGAGGUAACUAUUUAAAAAGUUAAAAAAAAAAAACUUGCCCAAAGACAGUCAGUUAUCCAGUGACAGAGCCAGACUAUGAACCUGCUGGCUCACCCCAAAGGUCAGGCUCUUGACUCCUUUUAAUGUGAGUGAAGGGAAAGUGACAGUACUUGAGAGAAUGCGACAGGCCCUGUCUUAGGUAUGGCGCCCUGGGAGAAGCAGGAAGAGAACCAGUGGCUUCGACUCAGAUUUCCCUUGUUUUAAAAACAAAAGCUCAUUUCUAAUAGGAACGUAGAUGGAGCACACAUACUCUCUAGUCAAGCAAAUCAUAGAAACCUUUCACUCCAUAUCCACUAUUUCCUCAGCCAGUGCUCAGUCUCAUUUCAACCAUAACACAGUAAAUGAAUUCUGGCUAAUACGAAGAUAAUUAGCAGGAAAAUCAGGGAAAUUGGCAGAUGCUGCUCAAGCAGGAGAAAAAAAAUUCACUGAAGCCUCUUUGGGCUUUUAAUCAAGUGUGUAAGGUACUCCUUUAGAGGAGCUACUGAAUAAUUCUAUUUGAGUCACACAAGUGAUUAGGAAAAGGUAAGGGGCAUCCCACAAGGGGACAAUUCUAGUGAACACCACACGUAAAGGAAGGGUGACAGAACAGGUAUGCAAUCACCCUGACCUACACAGGGAGGGAGGCUGGGCAGCAAGAGGGCUGAGCAGGAAAUGGAGCCCCUCAUUUGGCUGCAAUUACCACUCCACAGGGGGCUAGGGCUGGGGAGGGGAAAAGAUACGAAGGGCAAGUAAAUUAAUGGAUGUGGCAUUCCUAAGGAGAAUGGGAACAGGGAGUUAGCCUCCAAUAAAUCAAACGCUCCAGACCCCCAAACGCACAGAUGAGCAGUGCCUCUUCUGAGUUUGGCCUGCAGGUAUGAUAAACACGCCGUGUACAUGUGUGCACACAUGCACAGACUGAAUUUUGUGAAGUAAAUUGCAAAUCCAAGAGUUUGGGGGGACAACACCAGAAAAACAUUUACGUCAUUCUUGAUUCCAAAAUAUUCUGCUGGAAAAUGUCCAAAAUCUAAUAAAAUUUAAGUUAUAUUUCUCUGAGAGCUCUAACCGUGAAAAAUAAAGAAAAAAAUAAGCCAAUUCCAUUUGACUCCCUCUGUGUCUCUGAAGAGCUACUACAGCUGAGGGAGUUACUUGAUGGAUGUAAAAGUGUCUGAGGUGGGGUCAUUAGCUGCUAUGUCCUGAAGCCCAAAUGAGGUCUUUAGUUUAAUUCCAGUAUCAGCACAUCUCAUGAUUUCCUUUUAUUAAUUCCCUGGAUUUGGGGAUGUAUCAAAAAGCAGGUGGUAUAAGAUAGGACAUCAGCUUUUUUUUUCCACACUAAACAAAAAUAACAUUUGGCAUACAAAAGUAACUUUACUGAGGAAGUCACUUGGAGGUCUAAAAAUAUAUUAAAUGAUGCCUAAAAAUACCAGUUAUGAGGAUUCAGGCCAAAUAUUAUUGUGAUCUUUCACCUUAAAAAUAUUUUCCGACUCAUUUUAUAUUGAGACGUCCUCACAUUUAAACUGUGCUCACAAGGAAAAUUUAUGUUUUCAGUUUACAGAAUAGAAACUUGGAAAAGACUACGUACUUUUUCUGCCCUUUCUUUUCCAAACAAUAGAAAGCCAUUACCUGAGCCCAGCUUGUUCUGGAACAGUGCUCACAGACAAGCCAGGCAGCCAUGCUGUCUCUUAAGCCACUAUGUUUUCAAGGCUGGUUUUGGCUGAGAAGCUUCUAAGAAGGUAAUCCUUUCUGCAUUGUCAUUAGAAUAGCUUUUUUUUUUUUUUUUUUUUUAAAGAGAGGCUAGGCCUUGUGUUCUCAGAAGGCUUAUUCUUUCAGUGAUUUUUGCUUUUCUUUUUUUGUGGAUAACAUACUAAACACUCUUCCAGGUUCAGUCCUCCAAGAGUUCUCAUAAGAGGGUAGAAAAAUCUCAUUUCUCAUAAAAUGGAGGGAAACAAUUGCCUCCCUAGCAAAGUUUACCAGCUUAAGAGCAAGGAUCAUAAAAUCCACUUCUGGCAUUCACAGCACAUUUAUUUUAAGGCAGUACAAGGUUAGUGAGUCUUGCCAUUUGUUAAGAAGCAACAAAGGUUUAUCAACCUGGGGAGGGCUGGUGGUUUUGGGAGUAGUAGGGGCUAAAUUCUUACAGCAGUCUAAAAAAUUAGAAAAACAAAAAGCAAAAAUAUAUUGCAGUUUUUUGGGUGGAUUUUAAAAAAAAAACCUUUUUUUUAAUGGUCUUAUUCAUCUGUAUGUGACUGCUGUGUGUAGAGGGGGUUUCAAUGAACAGAACAGACUCCCAAUGAACAAUGGGAUAUUUAAUGCAAAUAAAUGCUCCUACUGACAAAGGAGUCUUGGCUACUCACCUAUUUUUGAAAAGACAUAAAAAAUUCAAAAUAACCACAUUUUGAAUUAAAAUAGGUAUCAUUUUCCAAGUUUAUGGACCACAAACUUCUAAAACUAACAUGGUCCCAACCUUAACAACUAUCCUCACCUGCUCUUUUCUAUAACAUCUACUUUGAACACAUAAUGCUUUCUUCAUUAAAAAAAUACCUGUGGUUGUUUAAAUAAAAAGUCGCUGGAAAGCAUACCUCGUAUUUUUUCUCUCAUUAAUGGUGUUUAUUUAGAACAAACAGAAUGAGAAGAGGUCAGAAUUAAAUAUUAGGUUGGUGCAAAAGUAAUUGCAGUUUUUGCCAUUACUUUUAAAUGGCAAAACUUCAAUUACUUUUGCAUCAACCUAUACAGUCCUGAGUUCUUGUUUAUAAUUAAAUUAGCAUCUGUACACUUUUCUGAAUGGAAUUCUGCUGACACAACAUUCUGUGAGGCAAACCAGCAUUCCAAGCAAACCUCUGUCUUCAAGACUCACACAGCAGAAGCUGUUUUAAAAUAGACUCACUCACUGAAAUGGCAUUUCUGUUUCCACCAGGUAAGGGAAGGCUCUAGCAUGAAUGCAGAAUUGAUAUUCCACAUCACAUGAUGGGGUGGACAGGUUCUGCAGAGCAACAUCCAGUGUGUAAAUACAGAGCAACACUGGAAAUGCUCAGUGGCUGGUGGUCGAGUUUGUUUCAGUAAGUGAAAUUACUCCAUAGGAUGGUUUGUUAAGCAUUUGUUAAAUCCCUCCAAAACCAAACCAAACUAAGCAAAGGUAGGGUCAGCACACAAGUAGAGAGAAAAGCUAAUCCACAAAGAGACGUGUUCAAGCCCUUCUACUGAAAUGUGGUGCAUAGUUUCUUAAGUGAAAAGAUUUUUAAUAAAAAACACUGAAAAUGUGCAGCUCCAGAAAGGUUGACUCAAACUAUGUUUAAGAAAUGGGGUCAAUGUGGAAUGUAUGAAGAGAUUUUAAAAUGAUACAGGAAAAAAAUCCUAAGCUCUCCAAACAGAAGUCACUCUUAACAUCUUUUAUAGUUUAUGUGUGAAAAGGAAUUUGUGCUUGGCUACUGGUACUAAGAUUGUACUUCAUCUCAGGAAAAGCAGAGGGGGGCAUUUCACACCAAAGCCCUGGCAACUGUAAGGCUUUGAAAGAAGGCAGCAUAAAGUUUGUUUUCAUAUAUGAAAUAAUGUUGAGGCUAAAAGUUCAAUGUAUGUAUAGUUGUGUCUUAAGGUCAAAAAUUUUUGAGAUAAGGAAAUUCAAACACUUGGGGAGAAUUUUAAAAGUAAAAGCACUGUAUGUGUGUGGACUCAUAAGUGCAAAAAUGAACCUCAAAAGUCUUCUAGUUCAUAUAAAUGUGACAAACAAUUUAAAAGCUGUAACAGUCUACAAUAACUAUAACCAACAUACAUAUAUACCUAACACCAACAAACAUGUUUAUAUACAUUUAUAUACACAUGCACAUUAAAGGAGUGGGAGCAGUGGGCUCCUGGUGAGCCACUCUGAACGGUCAAGCCACGUUCCUAAACCACGCUGCUCAUCUUCCCAAGCCCUCUUGUUCCAGGGAGGUGCCCGCAACGAUGGCCUGCUGCAGAAUACAGAGUGGCUUUUUCAUGUUUGAUGGGUUGUAAGAAACAAAAAGCCAACUAUGGCAUCUAUGAAGACUAUGCAACAGAGACUGUAAGUGGCCCUCAAAGCCAAAAAUAUAUAUUAUCUGGUCCUUUCUAGAAAAAGUUUGCUUGUUCCUAUUUCAACAGGACAAAACGAGAGGCCGUUCCCAACAAGCAGGCUAAGAAAAAUUUAAAUUACUCUCAGGUGGUGUGUGCCUCAGUAAAUAAACGUUUGGUUAUAAAUGAAGGAAUGCACUUUCACAAGAGAAAACAAUCUUACAAAGAGUCUUAAAUUGCUACAAAUACCCCAUUUUCAGAAUAUCCCACAGAUGAAUGUAUGAUGGUUAGAAUGUAGUAACAUUUGACAUAGGAGACCAGUUUUAUAAGCUAGUCUCCUCUGAAACUUAUGAGAAAUAUUUGAUCACUGUAAUAGCUUAUAGUCUUCAUUCUUAAGAAACCAGAAUCAAGGGAUAUCAGGUAUUGAUUUUUUUUCUUUUUUUGGAUAUCAGGUAUUAAGCCUGAUGUUACUCUUGCCUUCUGACCUUUAAAAUUCUAGCCUUCGGUCAAAAACAUAUUUCAUUCUUGAAAUGAUUUUUUCAAUAGCUAACAAAAUUAAUCUUUAUUAAUUUGGUAUACAUAGGAUGUGUUAUGAUUUACAAAAAGCUAGUCACUGAAACAAGUCCAAAACCUGUGAAGCCAGCAUUAAAUACCUAGAGACCGAAUAAAGAAAACAAAACAAAACAAAACAGGUCUGACAACGUGAAUCUCCUCUUGUGUCAUUGGCUACCACCUGCAGUAAGAAAACACAGAAGUUCAGGACGAAGAGACAGGCUGAUUUGGACCUAAAACAGGCUGCUUCUUUACCCAUUACUAUGAAAAUGCCCUUUUAGGAAGUAAUAGUAUAAACAGCAGGGCAGUAUAAUAGUAUAAAUAGCAGGGCAGUAUGAGAUGUAAAGACAGGGAAUUCCAAAACUAUUUUGGACUUUUUAAAGAAUACGUAACAUUUUAGGGAAAAGUUUAUCCUCAACAAAAGGCAACAAAUGAAUUCCUUCCUCCAGCAAAGAACUCUCCCACUCCACUUCCUUCUCUCUGAUAAUGCAGGUAUAACCUAUUCCUCAGGAAAUGGCCCAUCUCCAAAUUCCUCCUCCAGGAGCUUCUGCUCCUUAACGGAUUCAUUCCUGUGGUCUCUUCCUUGAGCACUCCACCCCCUCAUUAGUCUAUUCUCUAUGUGGCUCUGCUGUGAUUCUUAUGUAAUGCCUUAGAGUCACGCUUCAGAUAGUCACUGCUACUCUAAGACUGGCAGCAGACAUGGACAAGGUCAUCUGGUAAGUGCUAAGUACAUUUUCUUUUGGACUUUUAGAAACCGAUGAAUCAGUUUAAUAGUUGAGACUCAAAAGUUUCCUGGUAAUUAACUCGCUUGGCAGAUCUAUUGGUGAUUUUAUACUGUUUAAGCAAUCCAUUACAAUGAAGUCCUGUUCCAAAUGAUCCACAUUUCCAUUGAAAUUACAGAGAGAGUCCACAGUCACAUUACCACCCUGCAAAAAAUCAUUCUCACAGGCAAAGCGGAGCCCAACACUAUCUCGGAUUCCAUUUAAUUUGUUUCUUGGAAGUGGUGUUGGUUUCUUCUCAACACAGGACAAAAUAACUCCGAUGAUUAAAAAUGAUUAAACAUUUUGGCAACUAGGAAGCGUUCUCCAAUGGUGCUGCUUUAGGCAUUCCACCAGCAGUACAGUCUCAAAUAAAAAUAAAACCAUGUUAAACUGUAUCUCUCUUCUUUUGAGUGUUUGCUUUUUGUAUUUCCCUUAGUAAACAAGAAAUGAGAAAUGAACUCACCACACCAUAGGAAUAUGUGUCACAAGUUUCUGACACAGGGAGACUCUGGAUAACUUCUGGAGCCAUCCAUGGGAAAGUUCCAACCAAGGACAUGUGUGUUGUAUGGUUAUGGAACCGAGAGGCACCAAAGUCACAGAUCUGAGAAAACAGGAAUCAGUGUCAACUUUCUACUUAUUGGCUAAUUAAGGGAUUAUCAGUUACAAAAAUCUACAUCUGAAAUUAACAAUUUUUUUAAGUAAAAGAAAUAGUCCUACCUUCAAUACUCCAUCAGCAGCUAUAACAACUAAAAAAAGAAAAAAGGAUAAAUUAUGACAAUCAUCUAAUUUGUUUGAGCUGUCUUCUACUGAAAAAAACCAUAAACUUCUAUUUCUGUCUUCAAUAUGGGAUUAUGAAAGGUGAAAUCAAUGUAUUUACAGCAUUGAGGAUUUUGCAAAAGGGGGCUGACAUUAAAACAAAAACUUAAUUCCAUUAGGUACUGAUUAAAAAGGCUUCUGAGACACUUGUUUUAUCCAAAUGCAGUACUGUCCAGUAAGAAAGGCACAAAUUAGUAGUAGUUAGGAGAACCAAAUUUUUACCUGGGUUCUGCCCAUGUACUGCCAAUGUGAUACUGAGGUAGUCAUUAGCUUUACUACUUCAUAUUAUAUAUAUGGUUUCCUCCCAACUGAGUGAUUUUUGUUAAAGGUGGAGAGAAUAUUCAUUCAUUCACUUGUUCAUACAUUCAUUCAUUUAAUAAAUAUUUGCUGAGGCUACUGUGGGUAACGCCAUGUAUAAUGCUGUGGAACAGGACUGUAAGCAAGUCUGCCACUGUCUUUGCUCUCAGGGGGUUUAUAUUCUUAUCAGAGAGACAAUUAAAUAAACAUCUACAACAAACUGGGAUAGAUUCCAUGAUGAGAGAAACAAUACUAUAGAGCCAAAGAACAAUGAUAUCUGUGUCGAGGGCGGUCAGAUGAAGUUUCCUGUAAGAAAUGAUGCUUAUGCUAAAACCUGAAAAACACAGGAGUUAACCAGGAAGAGGAGAGCUGAGGGAGGAAAGUAGUUUCCUAGGCAGAAGAGAGAGCCUAUGCAAAAACUCAGGAGCAGACAAAAAAUGUAUGGCAAUUUUGGAAGGUAGGUGCCAGGUCAAGAAGAGAAAGAGAAAGCCAAUGAACAAUUUUAUGUGGAGGGAUGAAAUGAGCAAAGGUGCAGAGGGGAGACUAUGUCAGAGAAGAAUAGACCUGGAGGCAAGGGCAUCACUUGGCACUCAAGGUUUUGUGGUCCAGGAGACAGAUGAGGACAUCUGUACUAAGGCAGUGGCAAAGGACAGGAGAAAAGUUGACCGAGUCAAAAAAUAUUUAGGAUGUAGGAUCACCUAGGCUUAAUGAAUGGCUGGAUAUUGGGGGAGAAGGAAGCGAACUCAAGGAUAAAAUCAGAUAAAGAAGCAAUACAGAUUAAUGGUUAGAAUAGGAGCUCUGGCUUUAAACUGUAACUACUAUUUAUCUCAUUUCUGGCUUGGGCAAACAGUAUUGCCACUCAGUAAAAGAAAUGCAGGGAUGAUUUUUCGGGGUUAGGGAGAAAAUGAAAAGAUUAAUUUGGACAUAAUAUAUUUUAGUGUCUUAAAAAAUAUCUAUGUGGAUGUGUCUAAUCAGCAGAUAGAAAAAUAGUUUUGAAGUUGAGAUCUGUUUUUGAGUGUUAAUAUGUAAAUAGGGCUUUUAUGGGAGUGCAAGACUCAGAGCAUAAGAGGAGAUGAGUCCAAGGAUAAAGUUCUGAAGAACUGUUUCAGAUGUUUCUUUUGUAAACCGUGCAGUGCCUUGAACAUGAUAGAUGAUCAAUACUUACUAGUUACUGAUGAUUUUACCAAGGAGGGAAAAUGAUCUUUGUAUGAUCUAAUAUUUGAAAAUAGCCUCAGGGUAAACCUGGUACUAUAAGUAAUAAGCUACAAACUUUUACAAAUAGAAAUGUAAAUAUUAUUAAUUUUAUAUUCAGCUUUCUCAUUAUAAGAUUAACAAGUGCUCACUAGAAAAACUGCCAUUAUAAAAAUACAUAACAUAGAAAGUGAAACUCUGGUUACCUUUCCAAGGGAAAAAGAAUUGCUAUAAGUUAGGUCUAUAUUCUUUCAAUAUCAGUGUAUGUGUGUUCCUAUUUAGUAACUAUAAUACAUAUAACUGUAACUUUUUAAAAUGGGGACACUCUCCAUUGUUAUAUAGUCUUCAUAAUGAUAGCAGGGAAAAAUCCAUAAUUUAGUUAAUCAUUCCUCUUUUGUAGAAGAUUUAAGAUAUACUGAAGUCAAAUAACAUAGUUAAAUUGAAAUUCUGAGCAUGAACUGAAAAUUUACAAAUUCAUAAAACUCUGAUCUUUUCUACUACAGCCUAGAUUAUUUCCUAAUGACUUCCUGUUAGCUGACCAUAUAUCAAAAGUGCUUAGUUCCAGGAAGCUUAAGUCUAAGAAGAACCAAAGAAUACAUGAUAACCUAGAAGAGGAAAGGACAAUCAGACAGGGUUAAAUUGGUGGUCCAACCUGGACUACUGAUAAGUGGCAGGUGCUGAUAACUUCCCUCCCCGCCCCCAUCCCUUCACCCCCUGCUAAACACACACACACUCACACACACAAACCUCACAGUCCUGAGGCACGUGCAAGGGUACCUGAUCGAUUCAUUCCCUGGUUCUCUUCCACUACUUGUCAUCACCACCCAUUCUAAGGAUCACACUAUUAGCAUAUACUCGUUUUAAUUAAAGAUCUCCUAAAAAUAGAUAGUUCGCUUCCUCCUUACUGAGAAGGAGCAUUUAGAAAGCAUGUAAAUAAUUAAUUGAUUGGAGGGUAUUCAGAAAAGUGGCAAACUCUGAUGUUUACUUUAGCUAGUGCUAUAAUGCUACUGCCUUUCUCAGAUAACUCUGAAGUGAUGUAACAGAAGAAGCAUUCUGUUACCACUCCUACUUGAAGGUAAUGUCUAAUCCUGCAAGUUAUUUUAAAAUGCUCACCCUCCAAAUUAUAAGAUACAGGGCCAUAAAUAAGCUUUAGAAAGUACAGAAGAAGAGAAAGAAGAAAAAGAGAGCCUUUACUUUCCAAACUUCCAAUCAUGUGGCUCAUUUCUGGGCACUACUCCAGGUAAUACAGGCAUGACUGGCAUCAACAAUUCACACCACGCAAUUCAGAUGCAACAAGAACAAAAUUCAAAAUUGAUAGUGCACAAAGCCACCUAAAAAUAGAAGACUAAAAAUAUAUGACUGCAUACUUUGACACAGCAGUAUCUCUUUUAGAAAAUGAUUCUAGGGAAAUAAUUAGGGAUGUCUUGAAAAAUUUGGCUGAAAUAUUAAGCCCAACAUUUCUUAUCAGAGAAAAAAUGUAAACAAUUCAAAUGUCCACAUUCUGGGCUAUAUUUAUACAGUGAAAUACUAUGCAGCUUCUUUAAAUAAUAUUGAGAUUUUUGUUAUUUAUUGACAGUAGAAAGGCUUCCAUGGUAUCAGCAGUGAGUCCAAUAGUAGGUUACAAAAGAUAUGUAAAAGAAUGAUGCUCAUUUCUACAUGCAAGUGUAUGUAAUUUGUAAUAAAAUAGGUAAAAUAAAAACAUAACUACAUUACCGUU
This 13219-nucleotide long non-coding RNA is filed under the name Homo sapiens (human). Its description in RNAcentral is "HSALNT0043213". Lineage: Eukaryota; Metazoa; Chordata; Mammalia; Primates; Hominidae. The record is from RNAcentral.